GCUAGUAAUCGCGGAUCAGCAUGCCGCGGUGAAUACGUUCCCGGGCCUUGUACACACCGCCCGUCACACCACGAGAGUUUGUAACACCCGAAGUCGGUGGGGUAACCUUUUUGGAGCCAGCCGCCUAAGGUGGGACAGAUGAUUGGGGUGAAGUCGUAACAAGGUAGCCGUAUCGGAAGGUGCGGCUGGAUCACCUCCUUU
This 201-nucleotide ribosomal RNA is filed under the name Bacillus cereus. RNAcentral's name for it is "partial 16S ribosomal RNA". It matches the Rfam family "Bacterial small subunit ribosomal RNA", at positions 1334 to 1533 of the family's 1533-position model. Lineage: Bacteria; Bacillati; Bacillota; Bacilli; Caryophanales; Bacillaceae. RNAcentral also lists the same sequence under 42 other names. The record is from RNAcentral.